Long non-coding RNA from Limulus polyphemus (Atlantic horseshoe crab), 102 nucleotides. RefSeq lists it as uncharacterized. Lineage: Eukaryota; Metazoa; Arthropoda; Merostomata; Xiphosura; Limulidae. The transcript has 3 exons. The record is from RefSeq and is a predicted model, not a curated record.
GGUAAGGUUUGUUUCCAUUUUUUAAUUUUACAGAUACCUGUGUUUCCACAUUAGGUCAGUCGAGGUUUUUUCAGAUCCUCUCCACUAUAUCUUCGGAAUUCU